GCAGUUGUUACUGAUGUUCACUUUAAAAGCAAUCUGUGCGCUGUGUGUGUGGAUGUAUGUGCGCGCGUCUACCUGCAGAAGGUACCUGUGAAGGAACCCUUGGCGCCUUGGGGGACCAGCGCAGUCUGCUCGGACUUGACGCAGCACCUGGCGUGGCACCUGGCGCAGGGCAGAUGUUCAGCAAAGGCGCCUAGACAGCAGCUGGUGGGAAACAGCACCGGCCCCUCCGCUGCCCAAACCCGGUUAUCCUUUCAAACACCCAAUGCGGGCGCCUGUGUGGCUCAGUUGGUGAAGCGGCGGGCUCUUGAUCUCCGCUACGGUCUCAAUGUCAGGGUCCUGAGUUCAAGCCCCGCUGGGCGCGGAGCCUACUUAGAAAACUCCAGGGGGGUAAGGACUCCGGGAGGACCGAGGAAGCACUCCGGGAGCCCGGAGAGGAUCGCAGGACCAUUCCGGGAGCUCGGGGAGGACCUCGGGAGCACUCCAGGAGCUCAGGGGGCCAGAGGGAGCACUCCGGGAGCUCCGGGAGGAGGCGCCCUUCCUCCCAGGGGCCCACCAGCCAGGCUCCCCCCAGCUCUGCUCAGUGCCCGGCACGGAAGAUCCGCGACCGCACCCUACAGCCCCGCAAAGCCGGGCGCACAACCCCGGGGGGCGGCCGCGUCAGGGCAGAGCCCCAAGACCCCGGGGGCGAGACCCACCGCAGCAAGUGCCCGCCUGUCAGAACCUGGGCGGAGGGCGCCGACCCAGGCCGGGGGCUCCGGACCGACGGACCCACCUCUCCGCCGCCCGCCGAGGUUCGGGGCAGCUCCUCUGGGGGCUCCUCUGCAGCGCGGGCGGCUGCGGCGGCGGCGUUGGCGGCGGGCGACUCCAUGGCAACGGGCCGCCCCAGGGGGCGGGGGAGCUCCGCGCCGCACGCACCCCUGCCCGGGCGGUGGUUCGGUCGGCGCGGCCCGGCGCAGGCGCAGGCGCAGUGCGGCCGGGCCCGGGCCGGAGAGGUCCCGCGUGGAGCGGGUGCCUCGGUGGACCCGACCGCGCGCGUGGCGGCCGCUCAGGGUGUGGCCCAAACAGGCUCCAGUUCAGACGGGCGGUCGGCCGCAAGAAGGCGGUGUGUCCCCUGAAAUCGGGCUUCCCCGCCGCUGCCUGUGGGGCAGAGCGCUGGCACACGCGGCCCGCCGCGCGGGAGCGCCACUGAGCGCCCCCUCCUCCCCACCCGGGCCUGCCGUCGCCGUCACUCCGCUGCCCUGGCCCAAUCCCUCAGUAGGCGACCCCCCUGGCGGCGGAGGGUGUGACGAAGGCCCUCCCACCAGCCCGGGGCGGGGCGGGGGGCACACCCUGCCCUGA
RNAcentral lists this long non-coding RNA (1338 nucleotides) under Vulpes vulpes (red fox). RNAcentral's name for it is "lncRNA (ENSVVUG00000004683.1)". The record is from RNAcentral. Lineage: Eukaryota; Metazoa; Chordata; Mammalia; Carnivora; Canidae.